This 72-nucleotide transfer RNA is filed under the name Camelus bactrianus (Bactrian camel). It matches the Rfam family "tRNA". Rfam says of the family: Transfer RNA (tRNA) molecules are approximately 80 nucleotides in length. Their secondary structure includes four short double-helical elements and three loops (D, anti-codon, and T loops). RNAcentral also lists the same sequence under 2 other names. The record is from Rfam by way of RNAcentral. Lineage: Eukaryota; Metazoa; Chordata; Mammalia; Artiodactyla; Camelidae.
GAGGGUACAGCUCAGGGGUAGAGUACAUGCUUAGCAUGCACAGGGGACUGGGUUCAAUCCCCAGUAUCUCCA